This 333-nucleotide ribosomal RNA is filed under the name uncultured bacterium. RNAcentral describes it as "bacterial SSU rRNA". It matches the Rfam family "Bacterial small subunit ribosomal RNA", at positions 28 to 362 of the family's 1533-position model. The record is from RNAcentral.
GACGAACGCUGGCGGCGUGCUUAACACAUGCAAGUCGAGCGGUAAGGCCCUUUCGGGGGUACACGGGCGGCGAACGGGUGAGUAACACGUGGGUGACCUGCCCUCAGCUCUGGGAUAAGCCUGGGAAACCGGGUCUAAUACUGGAUAUGACUCCAUGACGCAUGUUGUGGGGUGGAAAGCCUUGUGCGGCUGAGGAUGGGCCCGCGGCCUAUCAGCUUGUUGGUGGGGUGAUGGCCUACCAAGGCGACGACGGGUAGCCGGCCUGAGAGGGCGACCGGCCACACUGGGACUGAGACACGGCCCAGACUCCUACGGGAGGCAGCAGUGGGGGAA